UGCGUAGGUGGCGCGUUAAGUCCGUUGUGAAAUCCCUGGGCUCAACCCAGGAAUUGCUUCGGAUACUGGCGUGCUUGAGGCUAGUAGGGGUCACUGGAACUGACGGUGGAGCGGUGAAAUGCGUAGAUAUCGUCAGGAACGCCAAUGGUGAAGACAGGUAACUGGGCUAGUUCUGACACUGAGGCACGAAAGCGUGGGGGAGCGAACG
Molecule: ribosomal RNA, 208 nt
Filed under: uncultured bacterium
Lineage: Bacteria
Description: partial 16S ribosomal RNA
Rfam family: Bacterial small subunit ribosomal RNA
Source: RNAcentral